GGAGGUAUAGCUCAGUGGUAGAGCAUUCGACUACAGAUCUAGUGGUCCCCGGUUCAAACCCGGGAGUUUUCUUCU
This 75-nucleotide transfer RNA is filed under the name Trichonephila inaurata madagascariensis. Its description in RNAcentral is "tRNA-Cys". It matches the Rfam family "tRNA". From Rfam's summary of the family: Transfer RNA (tRNA) molecules are approximately 80 nucleotides in length. Their secondary structure includes four short double-helical elements and three loops (D, anti-codon, and T loops). Lineage: Eukaryota; Metazoa; Arthropoda; Arachnida; Araneae; Nephilidae. The record is from RNAcentral.